This 56-nucleotide transfer RNA is filed under the name Hyalomma scupense. RNAcentral describes it as "tRNA-Ser". Lineage: Eukaryota; Metazoa; Arthropoda; Arachnida; Ixodida; Ixodidae. The record is from RNAcentral.
AGGUUAAUAAUUCAAGCUUCUAACUUGAAAAUAAUGAUAUAAAUCAUUUAAUCUUU